Non-coding RNA from Paramuricea clavata, 412 nucleotides. Lineage: Eukaryota; Metazoa; Cnidaria; Anthozoa; Malacalcyonacea; Plexauridae. The record is from the annotation of a GenBank genome assembly.
GAGUGAAGCACUGCGGAACGAAGGCAACCUUGACUGAAUUACGGUCGCGGUUUUGGAUAGUUAGAGGCCGACAGUACAUACGAAGCGUCAUCUAUCAAUGCGUCGUCUGCCGAAAACAAGAAGGAGAACCCUACCGUGCGCCACCACCUCCUCCAUUGCCAGAAUGUCGCGUGAAAGAGGACUUUCCGUUCGCUAACACUGGCGUAGAUUUCGCUGGACCGUUAUAUGUAAAGAAUCCUGAUUCGAAGGUAUGGAUCUCAUUGUACACAUGUUGUGUGACUCGAGCGGUACACCUCGACCUGGUGCCUGAUAUGUCAACCGAAGCCUUUCUAAGAAACUUUCAGAGAUUUUGCGCUAGAAGAGGAGUACCAUCACUGGUUAUAUCAGACAAUGCAAAAACCUUCAAAUUGGC